Molecule: ribosomal RNA, 437 nt
Filed under: uncultured bacterium
Lineage: Bacteria
Description: bacterial SSU rRNA
Rfam family: Bacterial small subunit ribosomal RNA
Source: RNAcentral
AACGAACGCUGGCGGCAGGCCUAACACAUGCAAGUCGAACGAGAUCUUCGGAUCUAGUGGCGGACGGGUGAGUAACGCGUGGGAACGUGCCCUUCUCUACGGAAUAGUCCUGGGAAACUGGGUUUAAUACCGUAUACGCCCUUCGGGGGAAAGAAUUUCGGGGAAGGAUCGGCCCGCGUUGGAUUAGGUAGUUGGUGGGGUAAUGGCCUACCAAGCCGACGAUCCAUAGCUGGUUUGUAGAGGAUGAUCAGCCACACUGGGACGUGAGACACGGCCCAGACUCCUACGGGAGGCAGCAGUGGGGAAGUCUUAGACAAUAGGGGGGCCAAACCCUCGAUCUAGCCAUGCCGCGUGAGUGACGAAGGCCCUAGGGUCGUAAAAGCUCCUUCGGCCAGGGAUGAUAAUGACAGUACCUGGUAAAGAAACCCCGGCUAAAC